GAUGAACGCUGGCGGCGUGCCUAAUACAUGCAAGUCGAGCGAACGGACGAGAAGCUUGCUUCUCUGAUGUUAGCGGCGGACGGGUGAGUAACACGUGGAUAACCUACCUAUAAGACUGGGAUAACUUCGGGAAACCGGAGCUAAUACCGGAUAAUAUUUUGAACCGCAUGGUUCAAAAGUGAAAGACGGUCUUGCUGUCACUUAUAGAUGGAUCCGCGCUGCAUUAGCUAGUUGGUAAGGUAACGGCUUACCAAGGCAACGAUGCAUAGCCGACCUGAGAGGGUGAUCGGCCACACUGGAACUGAGACACGGUCCAGACUCCCACGGGAGGCAGCAGUAAGGAAUCUUCCGCAAUGGGCGAAAGCCUGACGGAGCAACGCCGCGUGAGUGAUGAAGGUCUUCGGAUCGUAAAACUCUGUUAUUAGGGAAGAACAUAUGUGUAAGUAACUGUGCACAUCUUGACGGUACCUAAUCAGAAAGCCACGGCUAACUACGUG
This 497-nucleotide ribosomal RNA is filed under the name uncultured bacterium. RNAcentral's name for it is "partial 16S ribosomal RNA". It matches the Rfam family "Bacterial small subunit ribosomal RNA", at positions 28 to 507 of the family's 1533-position model. The record is from RNAcentral.